Molecule: long non-coding RNA, 997 nt
Organism: Capsicum annuum
Lineage: Eukaryota; Viridiplantae; Streptophyta; Magnoliopsida; Solanales; Solanaceae
Exons: 3
Source: RefSeq, a predicted model, not a curated record
UAAAAAAAGAAGAAAAAAUCUAUCCCAAUCCCCCACGUUCCCCACAAACACACACACAACCACUUUCCCCCAAAACUUUCCAUUAUUCCCGCAACUUCUCUCACACACACAACACACGACACAGCCAUAUAAAAACAUGCACACAUGCACUAUAAGGAGAGGGGACACAGACAAAAAAAAGGGGAGACAAUGAGAAGAAGGAGAACAACAUUCUGAAAAAAAAAAAAGAACACAAAAUACAAACAAAAAGCAACCAAGUGUACUCCCUCCUUAAUUUUCCAUCAAGACAACCCAAAAAAAAAAAAUACUACAACAACCAAAAUUUUCUCGCAUCUCAAACUUUAAGGUCUGUUUGCGGUUUUAAGUUUGUGGCUUUUGAAUAUUGGCUAUUGUGAAAUUAAUUUUUUCAAGAGUAUAUUUGGGAAAGCCAAUUUUCACCUUUAAAGCUUCUCUUUAAGGUCAAGCCAAGAUAAUGAGUUUAAGUACUUUGGAAUAAGUCAGUACUUUGGAGGCUUGAAAUAAACUUGGAAUGAAUGCUUGGAGCUUAGAAACGUGUUACAAUAAAAGUACAAGGCUCCACGGGGAAGACUACUCGGAGAAGGGAAAAGAGGCUAUGAACGCAAAGUGAUUAUUCUUUAGAUACAAGUCUCUUGACUAAGAAGGACCUUAUUUCAUUAAGAGUAUUUUUAUAAUUAUUUGUUUAGUCUAUAAAUACGGAGAAUAACUCAUUUUAGAGGCAAACUAUUUCUGAUAUGAGCUUCUAAAAGAGAGAAACUCUUGUGAGAUAUGGCUAAGACCUUUGUUUCUAUUGAAUGUUGAUAGGACUGUUUUCUUGAGGUUAUAUCCUCUUGAGGGCUUGUAGGAGGUUUUGACUUUAGUAUAGUCAUAGUUGCCUAUUAAAUGCUUACUUGUGCCUUGCUUUUACAGAUUUAGUACUUUUUGAAACUUUGUAUUUAAGGGUAUUGGUUUUGAUAUAGCUAUUUUUUCAUUUCUUUUC